AGGAGAAGUUGAGUCAGCUGAAAGCCACUGUCAGAAACACUGAAGAAGAUGAUGAUAUCUAUGAUAAAAUCAGCAUCGUUCAUCACACGCCAAGUGCCGUGGCGAAAGAAAGCAAGAAGAACAGCCAAUCAGAGAAGGCAGAUUUUUACAGCAAGCCCCUUAAAGGACAUCAUACUAAUUUCAAACAGACAGAAAAACGGUGAAGGUAUGGCCCCAACUGCAUUUUUCUCUGACUGUAAAAACAAGUAUUUUCUGCAAUUACAGGCCC
Molecule: long non-coding RNA, 268 nt
Organism: Boleophthalmus pectinirostris (great blue-spotted mudskipper)
Lineage: Eukaryota; Metazoa; Chordata; Actinopteri; Gobiiformes; Gobiidae
Exons: 4
Source: RefSeq, a predicted model, not a curated record